Molecule: long non-coding RNA, 6900 nt
Filed under: Homo sapiens (human)
Lineage: Eukaryota; Metazoa; Chordata; Mammalia; Primates; Hominidae
Description: non-protein coding lnc-NRIP1-2:15
Source: RNAcentral
AGUCUUAUAAUGGAUCUCUCAGUCACAUCAACGCCCGAGUCUAUGGUGAUGAUAAUGUUUGUGCAAAGUGGAUGCCAAGUGACUGCACAAUCAAGGUUUCUGAGUAGUUGAAAUAGAUAAGUCUUGAGUCAAUCAGUACAUCUGUACCACAUUCAUGUGGCAAAUGCUGCUUUAUGGAGAUGUUUCUAAUACUGACCUACAAUAAUUCAGCCAAGAUCACGUUUCUACUGUCUUCAGGAAAUGAGAAAAAUGAAUCCAGGAAAUUUCCAUCUUUAACUAUACUCUGUAAAUGUGCUGUCCAAUACACAGAUAGCUACUGAGCACUGGAAUAUAGCUAGUCUGAAUGGAGAUGUUCUCGAGCAGUUAAAGUGAAAACAAGAUCACGGAAAAGGAGAUAUAUUUUGGUAGAUCCAAGAAUCUAUGUUUGAUAGAGUCUUCACAGAAAGAGUCGAAAUUGACAACAUGCUUAUUGCUUUGGCUUUGGAUGUUGGUUGGGAACAUGGUUCUUGAAUAUCCACACUUCAAAGUAGAUCUUACUUUUUGGAAGAGUAGAAAGCUCAUUACGUUGGUUAAUUUGAGAAGUAAGACAAGGGCUCAGAAAGGUACUAGUUAUUAGUACCUUAUACACUAGCCUGCCUGGCAUUCUUACCAUGACAGUGAAUUGUCAUGGUAAGAGUUGUGGUUUUAAACCUCUUUUCCCCAGAUGUUACAUGGAGUAAUAUAUGUAUCCACAUACAUAUUAAAGUAGGAGGUAGAUAUUAUAUUGACUGGUGACUUGAGGACAUGAUACACAAAAUAGGUAACGUUUGAUGAAGCUUGAAAUGAGCCAAGAAAGGACAAAUCUGGAUAACACACUGUAGCCUUGGUGAUGAGAAAGGAGAAAGGAAAGAUAAUGAAGAUGGGUAUCAUAUUGCUUUGCCUUGAAUUUGCAGAAAGAGAUAUUUGGAUUAUGAUGUUACCUUAAAAAAGGCAGUUGAUAUUACUCAGUGAAAGUUCAGAAGCCAAGAAAACUAUGUGUGUGUACAUAUAUGUAUAUAAUGUACAUAUGUUUAUUUCUUUUUUUAAAAAAUUCUUACCUACCUCUCUACUAUAACAAAAUUAAUUUCAUUCUUUUUUGUUGCAUUUAAACUUUAUCUUGGUAAUGUUCAUAUUACAAAUUUGCCUAUAUUGUUGGUAUUAUAUUGUUACUAUAUAGAUAUAUUUGUAAGCAUAAAUGCUUGGUAUUCAAAUGUUUAACUAGUAAUAUUCAUAUUACAAAUUUGCAUAUAUGUUUGGUAUGAUAUUGUUACUAUAUAGAUAUGUUAUAUUUGUAAGCAUCAAUGCGUGGUAUUCAAAUGUUUAACAACUCUCCAUUUUUUUCUCAAGUAACCCUCUGACAAAAGGCUGUAUUUAUAUAAAACUGACAGAUUUUUAUGGUGGAUCAUUUUUCUUACAUUAAUUACAUAGGUAGUAUUAUUUUAGUUGGAGGUCAAAUAACAUACUAUCAAUGACAAUUUAGAGAUAAAUUGUUUGAAAUCCUGAUAUGGAAGAGCUAUAGAAAUAACAUGGGUGACCUCACGUUUUUAAGAUAGCCUCUCUGCACCAUAUGGCUAGUCCCAAAUGGAGAUCAAGAAAGCAAGGUCAUUUUUAAUCUCUACAUACAUCUUGCUUUCCUGGUUUAACACUAAUCAUUCAUUGUAUUCUGCAUAUUGGAAGGGAGCAGAUGAAGGAUACUAAGAAUUCACUUUGAAAACAUGUACUCAAUGUUUCAUAUCCAAAAACUCCCAGGGAUUAAACAAUCAGAAAACCCUACAUCAUUUGCAUUUUAAUGGAUACAAAUAAGAGUUGAAACAUUUCUUUACACUUAAACUACCAUGAACAAGCUUAUAUAGCUAUUAGGAGUGAAAAUGGGGAGGAGGAGGAAGAAGGGGACUCUGAAAUUUAAGGAAAAUUCAUUUCUUUUACAGAGUUGGAGCUAGGCUGAUUAAGUCAAGGUGCCUAACUCUGCUAGAGACACAUUUUCCUAAUGAAAAAUACUGUAACUUCAGACUUUUCACAUUUUCCAUGAAUAGAUGUCAUUACUCAUUAUCACAUUUAUCAUUACUUGUAAAACAAUGAGGUGGCAGCAGGGGGGGAAAGGACUAAAAUAGAAUUGAAAAAAAAAUUGGUACUAGCUAAGGUAAUUUAAAUGAAGCUUUUUUUUUUCCAGAAGCAAAGGUGACCUCCAUGAUUACUCCACCAUACCUUUGGGAAACUGACAUAAGAUAGUGGACAACUAUAAUGGAAAGAAUAGUGACUACGGUUUCUCUCCACCCUCCUCUAAUUCUGCAUUAGAAAUGAAAAAAAGCUUGACUGGUAAAAUUCUGAAACAGACAAUGAGCUAUUUAAGUGAUAAUUACUGAAUCUCAUUUUUAGAAGCCCAUUAACAGGUAUCUCUUUAGUCAUGAGAAAAUUAUUCAUAAAUAUUAAAUUGUGUGAUCACAUUGCAAGUUUCUUUCAAAUUAUAGAAUCUGACUAAUUUCACAGUAACUGUUUGCCAUUAAUUGGCUUUAAGAUUUAAUCAAGUAAAGACAUCAUUGUUUAAUUCUAAUUUGUAAAGCCAAAAAAAGUGUAACAUUAUUAUCUUUAGUCAAACUUCUUCAAAUGUUUAUGCAAGGUAGAAAUUGAAAACAACAGGUACUCCUGUGCUUACAGUUUCUCCAGUUCAAAGAACAAAAUUCAUCAAUGGGAAGCUGCAGUGGAUUGUAGAGUAAAAUCUUGCUGCCCAACUAGAGAAUAAAAAGAGUUUGACCAGACUUAUAACAAUGACAUAAUGGCCAUUUUGUUGAGUUCUUAAUGAGUUUAGUAGGUAGUGAAAUGGGAAAGGUUCCCUUGUCCCCCUUGCAGGGUGUGUGGUGGGGGUGUAGCUUGCUUCUUCAGUGCCCCACUGCUCAAACUUCUAGGGGAGCAUACAGAUGGGCAGGUUGUGGGGCUCCAACCCCACGGCAGUGUCUAGGGGUGAAUGUUUACAGCUCCUGAAGUGCCAGUGGGCGUGUGUUACAGGGUGCUCUGUUAGUUUGCCCUCUCUAGGCAGCUUGUGUUAACCAGCUCAGUUGGACUUUGUUGCAAGGAUAGAAGACUUUCUGUAUCUCCAGGUUCUUGCCUUGGUGUACCAGAAGAAUCAAUCACACAUGGUCUUGGAGAAUGAGUGCAAAGUUUUAUUGAGUGCAGGUAGCUCUCUGCUGCUCUUCCACCAGUAUGCUCUCCACAACCAGCCGCUUGUGUGUUCUUCCACUGAUGUGUCCUCUCAAUGUCCAGACGCUUCUGUCUCUGCCUUGCUAGGAUCUUGGGCUUUUAUAGACCUUGGAUGGGGAGGUGGUGAGCCAGGGUGGUCUUGGGAAAUGCAACAUUUGGGCGUGAAGUCAGGAGUGCCUGUUCUCACCUAGGUCCGUGGGGGUAAAGCCCUAGCUAGGGACCAUGCCUUCCUCUACCCAGCACUUCCCUUCCUCAUUCUGUAUCAUUUAAAGAGACCACACUCCUCCCUUCCCAGCACUCCUGUAUCAGUAGGAAGAUAGAAGAAAACUCUAGAUCACCAUCAAGUUCAAGUCAUUUCAGAUUUUCAGUGAAUAUAUGUUUGCUGUGUCCUUCAGGUACCAAGAUGCAGGGAAAUGAUUAAAAGGCCCUGAGAUAUACAAUACUGAAUGGUAGGGAGGAGGAGGCCUUCUAGGUUGGAAAGUCCCGUAGCUGACUAGCUACUAAAUGUUCUAUCAGCUAUUGAUAAGACCGUGUUCAGAACAUACGGAAAUUGUAGGAUAUAAUUUUUGUAUGUUACUUGUCACCAGCUGUUCAAUAUUAUGAAUUAUUCCUGAGACAUUACAGAAGUUGAGAAUGAAUUGUGCCCAUAAACAGAAAACAUAUUAACCUAUACAAUACACUCGUUUUCCUUUUAGAGACACGAAUACCCCUAGCUCAAGGAGUCGAUAUGUAUAAAAUAGGCAACUAGGGGCAUGCAAAUAUUGUGGAAAUGGUGUUUCUGAUUGGCACUGGCAGAUUUAUUAUUCGAAAUAAUCCUGUUGGCAAAAAAAGGAAAUUUUUUUUCCGUAUCAUAAAAUCUGAUUUCAAAAACUUGCUCCUUUUUGACUUUCUCUAUAAGCUUGUAAGUCUGCAUUCUUCUCUCAUUUUUAUAUCCAGGCUCUAUUGUAAUUUAUCUGUUGCUAACCAGUUUUCAAUAAAAUAUAUAAUAAAUAAGAUUUUCGGUUUUUAUUUUUCAAUGAUUCAGUUAUUCAUAAAGCUGAUGGGAGAUAGGAAAUUAAAGUUUUCCGCAAGCCUUCUUAUAAGACUGUGGUUGUGUCUGUAGUCUUAUUUUUUUGAUGACUGUGAACAUUAAUUAAGCUAUAGCUAUGCAGGUUGGAAGGUCUAUUAUGGUCUGAAUAUCUACAAAUUUAUAUAUUGAAAUCCUAACCCCCAAUAUGAUGAUAUUCAGAUAUUGGGCCUCUGGGAAGCAAUCAUAUCAUGAAUUCAGAGCCCUCAUAAAUGAGAUGAUGUCCCUUAAAAAAAGAGGCCCAAGGGGGUUUGUUUGCCACUUCUGCCACAUGAGGACUCAUCUAGAAUGUGCCCUCAAUAUUUAAAUGGCUAUACUGCAGGGAUUCACAGUGGCACUGACAUGCCAGCCCCCUGCCCCUUCAGCCCCCUCUGGACUUUGGGCACUGACAAGCAUGGAAGGGAGGUCGAGGUGGGGAUAAGGGCGGCUUGGCACAGGCCUGCAGGUGCCCCUCAGCACAAGCAGCCUGGGCGCCAUGGGCUCUGUGGAUGGCAGGUUAAUGGCAGCAGGAGGCAGACAGGCUCCUGGCUGCAAAGGGGCAGGUCCCCAGUGAAACACUAGCUUCAGGCCAGGGAUGACCCAAGAAGCCUGCGGGUCAGGAUGUCAGUUCCAUGGACCAGAAUGAAAACUAAUGGCGCUUUUUCAGGGCCUGCCCAUAAUCACCCAUGGGCCAAUCAGCAUGCACUUCCUGUCCUCUGAAGCCCAUACAAAUCCUGGACUCGGCCAGACUCAGGAAGAUGACAGGACAAACCUGCUUCUGGAGAGAAGCUACCCACUGUGGGUCUCCUCUCUACUGAGAGCUCAGCAGAAGACAGGAUGACCUGCCUGCGUAGAGGAGGUACCCACUCCAGGGUCUCCUCUCUGCUGAGAGCUGCAGAUUCAUCAGACGACCUGCCUGAGGAGAGAAGCUACCAACUACAGGUCUCCUCUGAACUGUUCUGUUGCUCAAUAAAGCACCUCUCUGCCUUGCUCACUUGUCCACAUACCUCAUUUUUCCUGGAUGCGGGACAACAAGUCAAGACCUGCCAAAUGGUGGGGCUGAAAGAGCUGUAACACAGGCAGUGCUGAAACAUGCACCUCACUCGCCAUAUUGCAGGUGACAAGAAGGAGAGAAGAGCUGUGGCCCCUAGGGGAGCCCAGGCCUAGAAGCUCCCCGAGCCAGGGCAGUGACACCUUCUUUGGGGCUCUGUAGUUCCUGGUGUCUCCAAGCUUCCAGGCACCACUGUGUUUCCUGGUGUCAGCUGUGGCAGCUAUUUGCAGUACACCUGGUCCAGCCAUAGCCUUGCAGUGAGCAGGCACUCGUGCCAGUACCUGGAGCUGCCUGCCCUACCAUAGCCAGAAUAUCUGGCUAUGCACAGUGGCCAGACCCCACACUCUCUCACACACCCCUCACCACUCCAUGCCUGGCUCACACUUGGCAGGUGGAGGAUCCAGGUUGGUAGCAUGAUCCAAGCGCAGCCUGCCAGGCCAAGUGGGUGGAAGGAGCCCAGUGGGCCUGAGCAAAACUCAGGCAAAGGUGCCCCUGGCCACAGAGUUUACUGGCUGGAAAUGUGACACCCCAAAGAUCCUGUGACAGUGUGGUGAUGCUUUCUUGCAUUUUCUGAAACCCAUCUUUUGCACCUCCAAACUAGAGUCUAAAAGCUGAAUGUUUUAUGCUGUAGACAAUUUUCUGUAGCUUGAGGAAAUUUCAGCCACUUUGGAGGUGGGGAGGAAGUCAUGCACACAGGAGAGCUGAGAGGAAGUGGCAUGAAAUCUUUAUUAGAACUCUGAGCUCUUCUGUCUCCUCUGCCCUAUUCCAGGGUUCACUCCACCUAGUGGCAGAUACUCUGGGGAAGGAUUCUUUCUCUGGGUAACCCUGGGGGCUUUAUUUCUAUCAGAGAUGUCUUGUAAUUUAUUUCCCCUAACUUCACCCACUUCGCCCCUGGAGCACUUUCCACUCGUGUUCAAUCAAAAUAAAAAGAUGCCAACAUUUAUAUGGCAUUAGGGAGGAUUGACUGGCUCUUUUCCAGGAUGAGGGCAUGGUUGGGAGCUUCUUCCUUUUCUUCUGGAAACAUUUGUUGCUUUCUUUGGACUGGCUUAUUAAAUUACAGUAUGUUAUUCUCUUGUUCUGGUUUGGUGGUUGCUGUUGAACAUUUUCUCAUUGGGUUUUAUUGCUGUCAUUGUUGUUCUUUUUUGCUCGUUUUGUGAAAUUUUAUGGGAGAGAAAUUAAAUUUUUGGACCCACCAUCUUAACAUGGAAGCUUGUAAACAAUAUUUUACUGGCCACCUUUAUUCAUUACUUAGAAAAGAAACUCAAUCUAUCAAAACUAUAUUUCAGACAUAGGAUUAUUUUGAUGAAGUGAAAUUUAUUAUACAUACGGUGAGACCUAACUUGUGUUUUUAAUAUCCUUAAAGUGCCUCGAUUGUGUGGUGAUAGGAGCAAUAAACAUCAAAUAUAAAUAAGUACUUGCACCUGACAAGUAAUUUAUAAAUAUUUUGCAUGUACUAUGACCGUACUUAUUUAUGUACAGAAAAUACAUAGUCAGACUAUAUCCACAAAUAAAAAUGCUGACCAUAUAAAGUGGUAAUUCAUAGUUAUUACAUGUCUCUUCUCUCUUGGUUUAUUUUCCUCUACAUCUUUUC